RNAcentral lists this ribosomal RNA (501 nucleotides) under uncultured bacterium. RNAcentral describes it as "partial 16S ribosomal RNA". It matches the Rfam family "Bacterial small subunit ribosomal RNA", at positions 29 to 523 of the family's 1533-position model. The record is from RNAcentral.
AUUGAACGCUGGCGGCAUGCCUUACACAUGCAAGUCGAACGGCAGCACGGGUGCUUGCACCUGGUGGCGAGUGGCGAACGGGUGAGUAAUACAUCGGAACGUACCUUAUCGUGGGGGAUAACGCAGCGAAAGCUGUGCUAAUACCGCAUACGCCCUGAGGGGGAAAGCGGGGGAUCGCAAGACCUCGCGCGAUUAGAGCGGCCGAUGCCUGAUUAGCUUGUUGGUGGGGUAAAAGCCCACCAAGGCGACGAUCAGUAGCUGGUCUGAGAGGACGAUCAGCCACACUGGGACUGAGGCACGGCCCAGACUCCUACGGGAGGCAGCAGUGGGGAAUUUUGGACAAUGGGGGCAACCCUGAUCCAGCAAUGCCGCGUGAGUGAAGAAGGCCUUCGGGUUGUAAAGCUCUUUUGUCAGGGAAGGAACACCGGCUCUAACACAGUCCGGGAAUGACGGUACCUGAAGAAUAAGCACCGGCUAACUACGUGCCAGCAGCCGCCGUAA